Molecule: ribosomal RNA, 442 nt
Filed under: uncultured bacterium
Lineage: Bacteria
Description: partial 16S ribosomal RNA
Rfam family: Bacterial small subunit ribosomal RNA
Source: RNAcentral
CCUACGGGAGACAGCAGUGGGGAAUAUUGGGCAAUGGGCGCAAGCCUGACCCAGCAACGCCGCGUGAAGGAAGAAGGCUUUCUGGUUGUAAACUUCUUUUGACAGGGAAGAGUAGUAGACUGUACCUGCCGCUUUAGCUAUGGCUAACUACGUGCCAGCAGCUGCGGUAAUACGUAGGUCGCAAGCGUUGUCCGGAUUUACUGGGUGUAAAGGGCGUGUAGCCGGGUUGACAAGUCAGAUGUGAAAUCCUGCGGCUUAACCGCAGAACUGCAUUUGAAACUGUUGAUCUUGAGUACUGGAGAGGCAGGCGGAAUUCGUGGUGUAGCGGUGAAAUGCGUAGAUAUUAGGAGGAACACCAGUGGCGAAGGCAGUCUGCUGGACAGCAACUGACGGUGAGGCGCGAAAGCGUGGGGAGCAAACAGGAUUAGAUACCCCUGUAGUC